AAUCAGAACUCACAAGUCCCGAUAGUUCUUAUCAGCCAGGACUUGUGAGUUCUGAUCCA
RNAcentral lists this microRNA precursor (59 nucleotides) under Branchiostoma lanceolatum (amphioxus). RNAcentral's name for it is "Bla-Novel-9-P1_pre stem-loop". The record is from RNAcentral. Lineage: Eukaryota; Metazoa; Chordata; Leptocardii; Amphioxiformes; Branchiostomatidae.